Molecule: small nucleolar RNA, 217 nt
Organism: Oncorhynchus tshawytscha (Chinook salmon)
Lineage: Eukaryota; Metazoa; Chordata; Actinopteri; Salmoniformes; Salmonidae
Product: ACEA small nucleolar RNA U3
Source: Ensembl
AAGACUAUACUUUCAGGGAUCAUUUCUAUAGUGCUGUACUUGAGAAAUGUGUGUCUAAAGUGGUAGAUCUCACUAUCCAUGAUGACAAUUAAAGAUAUUCCCGUUCAGAGCAUGAAUCUGGUGGUUAGAAGUGACUUUGCUCAUUUUUCUUCCACCUUUGAUGACUGUUCCUUGUUCUUCAAUGAACGUGGAUGAAGGGAAUAUGUUCUGAGUGGAU